RNAcentral lists this ribosomal RNA (272 nucleotides) under uncultured bacterium. Its description in RNAcentral is "partial 16S ribosomal RNA". It matches the Rfam family "Bacterial small subunit ribosomal RNA", at positions 524 to 776 of the family's 1533-position model. The record is from RNAcentral.
UACGUAGGGUGCAAGCGUUGUCCGGAAUUAUUGGGCGUAAAAGAGCUCGUAGGCGGUGUGUCACGUCGUUCGUGAAAAACCUGCAGCUUAACUGUGGGCGUGCGGUCGAUACGGGGCAUCACUGGAGUUCGGCAGGGGGAGACUGGAAUUCCUGGUGUAGCGGUGAAAAUGCGCAGAUAUCAGGGAGGGAAACACCCGGGUGGGCGAAAGGCGGGGUCUCUGGGGCCCGAUACUGACGCUGAGGAGCGAAAAGCGUGGGGGAGCAAAACAGG